GCCGAGGUGGCGGAAUUGGCAGACGCGCUGGACUUAGAAUCCAGUGGGCAACCGUGGGGGUUCGAGUCCCCCCCUCGGCACCA
RNAcentral lists this transfer RNA (83 nucleotides) under Deltaproteobacteria bacterium. RNAcentral describes it as "tRNA-Leu". It matches the Rfam family "tRNA". Rfam says of the family: Transfer RNA (tRNA) molecules are approximately 80 nucleotides in length. The record is from RNAcentral. Lineage: Bacteria; Pseudomonadati; Myxococcota; Myxococcia.